CUUGAAAAGAUGGCCUGAGAAAAAGCCAGUCAGUGCCUCUGCUCAUAAGACAUGCAGAAAUAUAAGACCCAUGGAAAAUUGUCUUGCAGUAGAAUGGCACACCUCUGGAGCUCACAGCAGCAGUUUCUUGAUCGUGGUGGUUUCCUGAUGAUGGCAAUAACAACACAGUUCUGGAACCAGGAGCCUCUUGAUCACAUAAGAGGCAGCAGCUGCCCUGAUAGCCAGGUUCCAUGGGGCUCUUCCACCUUUGCUGCUGGGCACUUCUCCUUGCCUUGUGAAGAAAGUGCCUGCUUCCCCUUCUGCCAUGAUUUUAAGUUUCCUGAGGCCUUCCCAACCAUACAGAACUGUGAGUCAAUUAAAC
Molecule: long non-coding RNA, 361 nt
Filed under: Homo sapiens (human)
Lineage: Eukaryota; Metazoa; Chordata; Mammalia; Primates; Hominidae
Description: HSALNT0407211
Source: RNAcentral